GGCCAGCAUCAAGAGUCGGGCCGACGCCCGGCACCAACCUGCCCCGUGCAAGGUGGUGCCUCUGUCCAUGGAUGGAGGGAUGUGGCCGAACCGGCAACACGGUGUUCAAGC
This 111-nucleotide non-coding RNA is filed under the name Sphingomonas sp. Its description in RNAcentral is "SAM-I-IV sequence". It matches the Rfam family "SAM-I/IV (S-adenosyl methionine) riboswitch aptamer". Rfam says of the family: It is found upstream of a number of genes which code for proteins involved in methionine or cysteine biosynthesis. It has been found mostly in the order Actinomycetales. RNAcentral also lists the same sequence under 1 other name. Lineage: Bacteria; Pseudomonadati; Pseudomonadota; Alphaproteobacteria; Sphingomonadales; Sphingomonadaceae. The record is from RNAcentral.